GUCCACGCCGUAAACGAUGUCGACUAGCCGUUGGCCCUAUUUACAGGGUUAGUGGCGCAGCUAACGCAUUAAGUCGACCGCCUGGGGAGUACGGCCGCAAGGUUAAAACUCAAAUGAAUUGACGGGGGCCCGCACAAGCGGUGGAGCAUGUGGUUUAAUUCGAUGCAACGCGAAGAACCUUACCUACCCUUGACAUCCAGAGAAUCUGUUAGAGAUAGUAGAGUGCCUUCGGGAACUCUGAGACAGGUGCUGCAUGGCUGUCGU
This 264-nucleotide ribosomal RNA is filed under the name uncultured bacterium. Its description in RNAcentral is "partial 16S ribosomal RNA". It matches the Rfam family "Bacterial small subunit ribosomal RNA", at positions 793 to 1055 of the family's 1533-position model. The record is from RNAcentral.